AUGGUAGUACUCAAGCUAGAUUUCCGCAAAGCUUUUGACACGGUCAGCUGGCAGUGCCUCUAUACCAUCAUGGAAGCCUGGGGUUUCCCUCAGAGAUGGAUCAGUUGGCCUUCUACGCUCCUUUCGAUGGCCAGUUCAAGAGUUAUGGUUAAUGGUGAGCUUGGCGAUCCUUUCAUGGCUAAGAAAGGGCUGAGGCAGGGUGACUCCACGUCACCA
RNAcentral lists this ribosomal RNA (216 nucleotides) under Triticum aestivum (bread wheat). RNAcentral describes it as "partial small subunit ribosomal RNA". The record is from RNAcentral. Lineage: Eukaryota; Viridiplantae; Streptophyta; Magnoliopsida; Poales; Poaceae.